This 85-nucleotide transfer RNA is filed under the name Minwuia thermotolerans. It matches the Rfam family "tRNA". Rfam says of the family: Transfer RNA (tRNA) molecules are approximately 80 nucleotides in length. Their secondary structure includes four short double-helical elements and three loops (D, anti-codon, and T loops). Lineage: Bacteria; Pseudomonadati; Pseudomonadota; Alphaproteobacteria; Minwuiales; Minwuiaceae. The record is from Rfam by way of RNAcentral. RNAcentral also lists the same sequence under 1 other name.
GGAGGGAUGGCCGAGCGGUUUAAGGCGCACGCCUGGAAAGCGUGUUGGGUGCAAGCCCUCGGGGGUUCGAAUCCCCCUCCCUCCG